Molecule: long non-coding RNA, 229 nt
Filed under: Hordeum vulgare
Lineage: Eukaryota; Viridiplantae; Streptophyta; Magnoliopsida; Poales; Poaceae
Description: long non-coding RNA (HVUL_LNC000156)
Source: RNAcentral
CGGCGUUGUGGCCGUUGGAGGAGAGGGGAUGCUCGGCCAUGAAGGAGAAUACCUGGAGUCUGAUACCAAGUUAGAGACUUGUAUUAUCUGAUAAUUGUGUUACAAUGUACAUCUGAGUAUAUAUACACUAGGGAGAAGAGUGUCGGCCACGUUGGGUGGCACGCAGGCCUGCUGGGCGGUUAGGAUCCUAACUAAUAGGAUCAGUAUUACUGACUCAAUACACAUGCGC